Molecule: ribosomal RNA, 468 nt
Filed under: uncultured bacterium
Lineage: Bacteria
Description: partial 16S ribosomal RNA
Rfam family: Bacterial small subunit ribosomal RNA
Source: RNAcentral
GACGAACGCUGGCGGCGUGCUUAACACAUGCAAGUCGAACGGAAAGGCCCUGCUUUUGUGGGGUGCUCGAGUGGCGAACGGGUGAGUAACACGUGAGUCCCCUGCCCUUGACUUUGGGAUAACUUCAGGAACCUGGGGCUAAUACCGGAUAGGAGCUCCUGCUGCAUGGUGGGGGUUGGAAAGUUUCGGCGGUUGGGGAUGGACUCGCGGCUUAUCAGCUUGUUGGUGGGGUAGUGGCUUACCAAGGCUUUGACGGGUAGCCGGCCUGAGAGGGUGACCGGCCACACUGGGACUGAGAUACGGCCCAGACUCCUACGGGAGGCAGCAGUGGGGAAUAUUGCACAAUGGGCGGAAGCCUGAUGCAGCAACGCCGCGUGCGGGAUGACGGCCUUCGGGUUGUAAACCGCUUUCGCCUGGGACGAAGCGUGAGUGACGGUAAUGGGUAAAGAAGCACCGGCUAACUACGUG